UCCACCUCUUCCCAUUCCGAACAGAGAAGUUAAACCCCGCCACGCCGAUGGUACUGCGAAAGUGGGAGAGUAGGUAACCGCCCCCU
RNAcentral lists this ribosomal RNA (86 nucleotides) under Bacteroidales bacterium. Lineage: Bacteria; Pseudomonadati; Bacteroidota; Bacteroidia; Bacteroidales. The record is from RNAcentral.